Molecule: ribosomal RNA, 401 nt
Filed under: uncultured bacterium
Lineage: Bacteria
Description: bacterial SSU rRNA
Rfam family: Bacterial small subunit ribosomal RNA
Source: RNAcentral
CAAGGCUUGACAUAUACGAGAACGGGCCAGAAAUGGUCAACUCUUUGGACACUCGUAUACAGGUGGUGCAUGGUUGUCGUCAGCUCGUGUCGUGAGAUGUUCGAUUAAGUCCGGCAACGAGCGCAACCCUCGUCCUAUGUUGCCAGCACGUUAUGGUGGGAACUCAUGGGAUACUGCCGUGGUCAACACGGAGGAAGGUGGGGAUGACGUCAAAUCAUCAUGCCCCUUAUGUCUUGGGCUUCACGCAUGCUACAAUGGCCGAUACAAAGGGCUGCGAUACCGCGAGGUGGAGCGAAUCCCAAAAAGUCGGUCUCAGUUCGGAUUGGGGUCUGCAACUCGACCCCAUGAAGUCGGAGUCGCUAGUAAUCGCAGAUCAGCAACGCUGCGGUGAAUACGUUCCC